Molecule: transfer RNA, 70 nt
Filed under: Megaselia scalaris
Lineage: Eukaryota; Metazoa; Arthropoda; Insecta; Diptera; Phoridae
Rfam family: tRNA
About the family: Transfer RNA (tRNA) molecules are approximately 80 nucleotides in length. Their secondary structure includes four short double-helical elements and three loops (D, anti-codon, and T loops). Further hydrogen bonds mediate the characteristic L-shaped molecular structure. tRNAs have two regions of fundamental functional importance: the anti-codon, which is responsible for specific mRNA codon recognition, and the 3' end, to which the tRNAs corresponding amino acid is attached (by aminoacyl-tRNA synthetases). tRNAs cope with the degeneracy of the genetic code in two manners: having more than one tRNA (with a specific anti-codon) for a particular amino acid; and 'wobble' base-pairing, i.e. permitting non-standard base-pairing at the 3rd anti-codon position.
Source: Rfam by way of RNAcentral
GCGGUAGCUAAAUUGGUAGAGCAAUUCCCCGGCAAGGAAAAGUUUGUGUGUGGGUUCAAGUCCCACCGCA